AGAGUUUGAUCCUGGCUCAGGACGAACGCUGGCGGCGUGCUUAACACAUGCAAGUCGAACGGAAAGGCCCUUCGGGGUACUCGAGUGGCGAACGGGUGAGUAACACGUGGGUGAUCUGCCCUGCACUCUGGGAUAAGCCUGGGAAACUGGGUCUAAUACCGGAUAGGACCGCAUGCUUCAUGGUGUGUGGUGCAAAGCUUUUGCGGUGUGGGAUGAGCCCGCGGCCUAUCAGCUUGUUGGUGGGGUAAUGGCCUACCAAGGCGACGACGGGUAGCCGGCCUGAGAGGGUGACCGGCCACACUGGGACUGAGAUACGGCCCAGACUCCUACGGGAGGCAGCAGUGGGGAAUAUUGCACAAUGGGCGCAAGCCUGAUGCAGCGACGCCGCGUGAGGGAUGACGGCCUUCGGGUUGUAAACCUCUUUCAGUAGGGACGAAGCGAAAGUGACGGUACCUACAGAAGAAGGACCGGCCAACUACGUGCCAGCAGCCGCGGUAAUACGUAGGGUCCGAGCGUUGUCCGGAAUUACUGGGCGUAAAGAGCUCGUAGGUGGUUUGUCGCGUUGUUCGUGAAAACUCACAGCUUAACUGUGGGCGUGUGGGCGAUACGGGCAGACUAGAGUACUGCAGGGGAGACUGGAAUUCCUGGUGUAGCGGUGGAAUGCGCAGAUAUCAGGAGGAACACCGGUGGCGAAGGCGGGUCUCUGGGCAGUAACUGACGCUGAGGAGCGAAAGCGUGGGUAGCGAACAGGAUUAGAUACCCUGGUAGUCC
RNAcentral lists this ribosomal RNA (771 nucleotides) under uncultured bacterium. RNAcentral describes it as "bacterial SSU rRNA". It matches the Rfam family "Bacterial small subunit ribosomal RNA", at positions 8 to 796 of the family's 1533-position model. The record is from RNAcentral.